GAUGAACGCUGGCGGCGUGCUUAACACAUGCAAGUCGAACGAUGAAGCCCAGCUUGCUGGGUGGAUUAGUGGCGAACGGGUGAGUAACACGUGAGUAACCUGCCCUUAACUCUGGGAUAAGCCUGGGAAACUGGGUCUAAUACCGGAUAGGAGCGUCCACCGCAUGGUGGGUGUUGGAAAGAUUUAUCGGUUUUGGAUGGACUCGCGGCCUAUCAGCUUGUUGGUGAGGUAAUGGCUCACCAAGGCGACGACGGGUAGCCGGCCUGAGAGGGUGACCGGCCACACUGGGACUAAGACACGCCCAAGACUCCUACAGGAGGCAGCAGUAGGAAAUAUUGCACAAUGAGCGCAAGCCUGAUGCAGCGACGCCGCGUGAGGGAUGACGGCCUUCGGGUUGUAAACCUCUUUCAGUAGGGAAGAAGCGAAAGUGACGGUACCUGCAGAAGAAGCACCGGCUAACUACGUG
This 466-nucleotide ribosomal RNA is filed under the name uncultured bacterium. Its description in RNAcentral is "partial 16S ribosomal RNA". It matches the Rfam family "Bacterial small subunit ribosomal RNA", at positions 28 to 507 of the family's 1533-position model. The record is from RNAcentral.